Molecule: ribosomal RNA, 536 nt
Filed under: uncultured Bacillus sp.
Lineage: Bacteria; Bacillati; Bacillota; Bacilli; Caryophanales; Bacillaceae
Description: bacterial SSU rRNA
Rfam family: Bacterial small subunit ribosomal RNA
Source: RNAcentral
GCAAUGGACGAAAGUCUGACGGAGCAACGCCGCGUGAGUGAUGAAGGCUUUCGGGUCGUAAAACUCUGUUGUUAGGGAAGAACAAGUGCUAGUUGAAUAAGCUGGCACCUUGACGGUACCUAACCAGAAAGCCACGGCUAACUACGUGCCAGCAGCCGCGGUAAUACGUAGGUGGCAAGCGUUAUCCGGAAUUAUUGGGCGUAAAGCGCGCGCAGGUGGUUUCUUAAGUCUGAUGUGAAAGCCCACGGCUCAACCGUGGAGGGUCAUUGGAAACUGGGAGACUUGAGUGCAGAAGAGGAAAGUGGAAUUCCAUGUGUAGCGGUGAAAUGCGUAGAGAUAUGGAGGAACACCAGUGGCGAAGGCGACUUUCUGGUCUGUAACUGACACUGAGGCGCGAAAGCGUGGGGAGCAAACAGGAUUAGAUACCCUGGUAGUCCACGCCGUAAACGAUGAGUGCUAAGUGUUAGAGGGUUUCCGCCCUUUAGUGCUGAAGUUAACGCAUUAAGCACUCCGCCUGGGGAGUACGGCCGCAAGGC